RNAcentral lists this non-coding RNA (147 nucleotides) under human gut metagenome. The record is from RNAcentral.
AAAGAUGGUUCUACUUUUCCUUUUCCGCAUAAGUGAAUGAUUUGGAAGUGUUUUAAUAAUUCAUCUAAACUUUCACGCACUGCACUAUUUACAGCAACAGCACCUAAACUUCCUCCGAUUACUAAAAUAACAGGUUUGUCAGAGGUG